RNAcentral lists this long non-coding RNA (4039 nucleotides) under Salvia miltiorrhiza (redroot sage). RNAcentral's name for it is "long non-coding RNA (SMIL_LNC006206)". Lineage: Eukaryota; Viridiplantae; Streptophyta; Magnoliopsida; Lamiales; Lamiaceae. The record is from RNAcentral.
UGCGUGAGUAAUAAAUAACAAAUUAUGUGGAAAAUAUUUGUUAUGUAUUGACUUUCUAUUUCAAGAAGUGACCUAUUAAAACAGGACGUCGAAGUAAGGGAAUAUGAUUUAUUGAAUUGAGACGAAAAGAGUAUUAUUAUUAUUAUCCUCUUUUUUCAUAUGAGUAUUAAUUUCUUUUUGCUAAAUUGGGUGGGAUCCACCCACUUUGCUAUAGGGAUAAAUUUACAUUCACUUCAUUUUUAUAGGCACUUUUAUUCAUUUUUGGUAUUGGAAGUAUUAGACUUAAAAGCAUGCAAAAUCGCUCUUUGGUGAAUGGAGAGAUAAGGUGGUUCUUGGAGUGGAUGGGGAACUAACUACUAACAUCUAACAUGACUUUGCCCGAUCAAAAAAAAAAAAAAUACGCUCUUUGGUGAGAAUUUUGGAGUUUAAUUCCCACCCAAGUGCGAAUUAUUUCACAAUAAAUAUUUAUUUAUAAUUCGUUGUAAUAUUCAAAGGAAAAAUAUUACUGUGUGAUUAAACAUACGAGAUUCGGCGUAGCAAAUGGAAAAGAAAAGCAUAAAAAUAAAAUAAUAAAUUACUACGAGCAUUUAUUGGACGGACUUCUCUAGAAGCUUUGGACUCAAAACUUUAGACAAUUACAGUUAAUUUUAGUUAAUUAAUAAAACUAAUUCAAAGUAAAAUUUUAACCCAAACGAAAACGAAGGUAAAAUUCCCUUAAUUCGACUAUUAACUAUAUAACUCAGCAACCAAAACCCCCAAAAUUAUCCUAAUCUACUAUUCACACUCUCGAUCAACCCAAACAAAAUUUAAAAAUAAAAAAUAGAAUUAAAUCAUGUCAAAGCAUCUGUGUGUUUUCUUCUAGUGACUCGAAUGUAGCAAUAAACCGCGGCGAAAGUGGCGGUGACGAGGCCGCCGAUGAUGACUCCGCCGCCCGCCACCGACUUAUCCGACGAGUGGUGCUUCCCGAUCUUCCUGCUCUCCCACUCCGCCGGCGCCUCCGCCUCCGACUCCGUCUCUCUCUCCGCCAGCGGAGGAUCCGCUAUUGUCAUCUCCGGCUCCGGAUUCCGGAGCAGAGCCGACGGAUCCGGGUUGGCGGGGGUUCCGUCAGCCCGGGCGGCGUGGAGCGUCAGGAGAAAUGCAGAGAGCGUGAGGAGAGCGAGCAGGAAUCUGUUGCCCAUGACGUGUUCGACAAAUGCCAGUGUGAUCCCAGGCGUUUCUGGAGCUGCGAGAGAUUGCGUGAUUUUUCUAUUUAUAAUUUCCUUUUUUUUUGCGAGAAAAGAGAUGUGAGAUUUUCAGUUGAACUGAGCUGCGAAAACUGGAGAUCUGUAUUUAUAGAAGGAGAUUUUUUCGGGCCGGGUCGGGUCGAACCGGGAAGAAAUGCAGUGUUUUUUGAAAGUCGUGUUUGGGGUGAAUUUUCCAGAGAAGCUUCAUAGUUCAUAAGCACGCUGCCUAUUGAGGGUAUAAUUGUCAUUUUCAACAUAGUCAAGGAAGCUAUUCUUUCAUUUUCCUCUCUUUUUGUCUUCGAAUAAGUGUCAUAUUUUAGAAAAUGACUGAAUCUUUGAAUAAAUAUUUUAUUUUAAAAUUUUAUGCAAAAAUGAUAUGACUGUUAAAUUUGUCCUUGAUUAAUUUUUGAAUACUACUCCAUUUGUCCCACUUAAGUGACUCAAAAUUUUUCGACACGAAAAUUAAGGAGAAUGUGUAAAUUGGUUAAAACUGGUAGGAUUUACACUUUUUUAAGAGUUAAGAUUUUUCAUUUGUGGAAACAUGCCAUUUAUAAUGGGACGGAAAGAGUAUUAUAAUUCUACAUAUGCAUCAUAUCUCAUGCAGCAAUUAAAUAGAUAGAAUAGAUGGUUAAAUUUAGUCUUGUUCGAUUUUUCGAUAUUAUUAGAGUGUGCUUCGUAGCCUAUAUAAAGCAAGACAUAUAAAUAAUUAUGCCUGAGAUAAUUAAUCGUACGACACAAUUAUUAUUUAUUUUAUACUAUUUAUUGUAUUAUUAAUCUUAUUUUUAUUAACCAAUUCGUUUUUAAACAUGACUACCAAACAACGGCUUAUAAUUUUGCAGAUGCUUUGCAUCUCAUGUAGCAAUUAGAUAGAUACAAUAUAUUUUUAUGGAUGAAAACAUUUACAUAAUCAUAGAUUAAAUCUCUUUUUGUUUGGAUACACGCACUUAAGAUCUUUCAAUCAUUUGAUGGUCGUUCUACUAACUAAUCUAGACAAACAAACUUAUCAUACAUAAAUUUAUAAGCUAAAAUACAUUAUUUUAUUUCUACGAGGAAANUGAGAGCACGAAAGUAAGACUGCAGUAGUAUUGCGAGUGAAGAUAGCGUGUGUUUACAAGGUGCGUAUGCAUGGCUAUUUAUAGAUUACAUGUUGAGGGAAAAAUAGUAAAUUCAUUGUUAAAACAUGCACCUCGCGUGGUCGAGGGCAUAAUAGUAAAUUUGCCCUUAGACGGGAGAUUUAUCCGCUCUUUUGGUGAUCUCUCUGGCGAUGGCCAUUUAUCUGACAAAGGCCAUUCCUCUGGCGGGGGUGACUUCUCUGACGGAAGCCACUUCUCUGGUGAAGACCGUUCCUCUGACCAAGACCGUUCCUUAUGCUCUGCACAUAUUACUCCUCAUCACUAACAUUUUUAAUCAAUUUACACCUUCUUAAUUUCUGUGUUGAAAAUAUUGAACCACUUAUAAUGGGACCGAAUGAAAUAUUUUUUAAGAAACAUUUCAUAAUAUUAUUAUUCACAAAAUAGCCACAGUUGUCCAUGACCACGACUCAAAUUCGACAAAGAGUACUAUGCUUGGCUACAAGGUUUGAAUACGGAUAUAAGAAAGAAAAAGUUUAUAAUACAUUAUAAAUAUAAAUAUAUAUAUAUAUACACAUAUAUACAUACACAUAUAUAUUCAAAAACACAUAUAUAUUCAAAGAGUAGAAGAAAGAAAUAAAUAAGAUAUAAUUAUGCGUGAAAUAUAAUAAAUAAUAAAUUAUGUGGAAAAUAUUUGUUAUGUAUUGACUUUCUAUUUAAAGAAGUGACCUAUUAAAACGGGAAGUCGAAAUAAGGAAAUAUGAUUUAUUGAAUUGAGACGAAAAGAGUAUUAUUAUUAUUAUCCUCUUUUUUCAUAUGAGUAUUAAUUUCUUUUUGCUAAAUUGGGUGGGAUCCACCCACUUUGCUAUAGGGAUAAAUUUACAUUCACUUCAUUUUUAUAGGCACUUAACUUUUAUUCAUUUUUGGUAUUGGAAGUAUUAGACUUAAAAGCAUGCAAAAUCGCUCUUUGGUGAGAAUUUUGGAGUUUAAUUCCCACCCACGUGCGAAUUAUUUCACAAAUAAAUAUUUAUUUAUAAUUGAUACUAUCACUAAACUAAAAAUAUUACUGUAUGAUUUAAUAUACGAGAUUCGGCGUAGCAAAGGGAAAAUAUAAAAGUAAUAAAUUACUACGAGCAUUUAUUGGACGGACUUCUCUAGAAGCUUUGGACUCAAAACUUUAGACAAUUACAGUUAAUUUUAGUUAAUUAAUAAAACUAAUUCAAAGUAAAAUUUUAACCCAAACGAAAACGAAGGUAAAAUUCCCUUAAUUCGACUAUUAACUAUAUAACUCAGCAACCAAAACCCCCAAAAUUAUCCUAAUCUACUAUUCACACUCUCGAUCAACCCAAACAAAAUUAAAAAAAAAAUAAAAAAACAAUAAAUCAUGUCAAAGCAUCAGUGUGUUUUCUUCUAGUGACUCGAAUGUAGCAAUAAACCGCGGCGAAAGUGGCGGUGACGAGGCCGCCGAUGAUGACUCCGCCGCCCGCCACCGACUUAUCCGACGAGUGGUGCUUCCCGAUCUUCCUGCUCUCCCACUCCGCCGGCGCCUCCGCCUCCGACUCCGUCUCUCUCUCCGCCAGCGGAGGAUCCGCUAUUGUCAUCUCCGGCUCCGGAUUCCGGAGCAGAGCCGACGGAUCCGGGUUGGCGGGGGUUCCGUCAGCCCGGGCGGCGUGGAGCGUCAGGAGAAAUGCAGAGAGCGUGAGGAGAGCGAGCAGGAAUCUGUUGCCCAUGACGUGUUCGANNNNN